CCUACGGGUGGCAGCAGUCGAGAAUCAUUCACAAUGGGGGAAACCCUGAUGGUGCGACGCCGCGUGGGGGAAUGAAGGUCUUCGGAUUGUAAACCCCUGUCAUGUGGGAGCAAAUUAAAAAGAUAGUACCACAAGAGGAAGAGACGGCUAACUCUGUGCCAGCAGCCGCGGUAAUACAGAGGUCUCAAGCGUUGUUCGGAAUCACUGGGCGUAAAGCGUGCGUAGGCUGUUUCGUAAGUCGUGUGUGAAAGGCGCGGGCUCAACCCGCGGACGGCACAUGAUACUGCGAGACUAGAGUAAGGGAGGGGGAACCGGAAUUCUCGGUGGAGCAGUGAAAUGCGUAGAUAUCGAGAGGAACACUCGUGGCGAAGGCGGGUUCCUGGACAUUAACUGACGCUGAGGCACGAAGGCCAGGGGAGCGAAAGGGAUUAGAUACCCGGGUAGUC
This 446-nucleotide ribosomal RNA is filed under the name uncultured bacterium. RNAcentral's name for it is "partial 16S ribosomal RNA". It matches the Rfam family "Bacterial small subunit ribosomal RNA", at positions 338 to 795 of the family's 1533-position model. The record is from RNAcentral.